CCGUGCUAAGCGGGGAGGUAGCGGUGCCCUGUACUCGCAAUCCGCUCUAGCGAGGCCGAAUCCCUUCUCGAGGUUCGUUUACUUCAAGGUCUGCCUUAAAUAAGUGGUGUUGACGUCUGGGUCCUGCGCAAUGGGAAUUCAUGAACCAUGUCAGGUCCGGAAGGAAGCAGCAUUAAGUGAAACCUCUCAUGUGCCGCAGGGUUGCCUGGGCCGAGCUAACUGUUUAAGUAA
This 231-nucleotide signal recognition particle RNA is filed under the name Bacillus safensis. RNAcentral's name for it is "partial signal recognition particle sRNA large type". It matches the Rfam family "Bacterial large signal recognition particle RNA", at positions 1 to 227 of the family's 256-position model. Rfam says of the family: The signal recognition particle (SRP) is a universally conserved ribonucleoprotein involved in the co-translational targeting of proteins to membranes. Archaeal SRP consists of a 7S RNA and homologues of the eukaryotic SRP19 and SRP54 proteins. In most bacteria, the SRP consists of a 4.5S RNA and the Ffh protein (a homologue of the eukaryotic SRP54 protein). Lineage: Bacteria; Bacillati; Bacillota; Bacilli; Caryophanales; Bacillaceae. The record is from RNAcentral.